RNAcentral lists this long non-coding RNA (205 nucleotides) under Pelobates cultripes (western spadefoot toad). The record is from RNAcentral. Lineage: Eukaryota; Metazoa; Chordata; Amphibia; Anura; Pelobatidae.
GCAACAGAUUCCAAAUGCAAAUAGCACACUUGAAAUGAACUCUGGACCUUUUAUAUGCUCCUUGUAAAUGGGAUAAUGAGGGAAUAACACACACCUGGCCAUGGAACAGCUGAGCAGCCAAUUGUCCCAUUACUUUUGGUCCCUUGAAAAGUGGGAGGCACAUAUACAAACUGUUGUAAUUCCUAUACCGUUCACCUGAUUUGGA